RNAcentral lists this ribosomal RNA (1379 nucleotides) under Salmonella enterica subsp. enterica. Its description in RNAcentral is "bacterial SSU rRNA". It matches the Rfam family "Bacterial small subunit ribosomal RNA", at positions 147 to 1522 of the family's 1533-position model. RNAcentral also lists the same sequence under 1 other name. Lineage: Bacteria; Pseudomonadati; Pseudomonadota; Gammaproteobacteria; Enterobacterales; Enterobacteriaceae. The record is from RNAcentral.
CUACUGGAAACGGUGGCUAAUACCGCAUAACGUCGCAAGACCAAAGAGGGGGACCUUCGGGCCUCUUGCCAUCAGAUGUGCCCAGAUGGGAUUAGCUUGUUGGUGAGGUAACGGCUCACCAAGGCGACGAUCCCUAGCUGGUCUGAGAGGAUGACCAGCCACACUGGAACUGAGACACGGUCCAGACUCCUACGGGAGGCAGCAGUGGGGAAUAUUGCACAAUGGGCGCAAGCCUGAUGCAGCCAUGCCGCGUGUAUGAAGAAGGCCUUCGGGUUGUAAAGUACUUUCAGCGGGGAGGAAGGUGUUGUGGUUAAUAACCGCAGCAAUUGACGUUACCCGCAGAAGAAGCACCGGCUAACUCCGUGCCAGCAGCCGCGGUAAUACGGAGGGUGCAAGCGUUAAUCGGAAUUACUGGGCGUAAAGCGCACGCAGGCGGUCUGUCAAGUCGGAUGUGAAAUCCCCGGGCUCAACCUGGGAACUGCAUUCGAAACUGGCAGGCUUGAGUCUUGUAGAGGGGGGUAGAAUUCCAGGUGUAGCGGUGAAAUGCGUAGAGAUCUGGAGGAAUACCGGUGGCGAAGGCGGCCCCCUGGACAAAGACUGACGCUCAGGUGCGAAAGCGUGGGGAGCAAACAGGAUUAGAUACCCUGGUAGUCCACGCCGUAAACGAUGUCUACUUGGAGGUUGUGCCCUUGAGGCGUGGCUUCCGGAGCUAACGCGUUAAGUAGACCGCCUGGGGAGUACGGCCGCAAGGUUAAAACUCAAAUGAAUUGACGGGGGCCCGCACAAGCGGUGGAGCAUGUGGUUUAAUUCGAUGCAACGCGAAGAACCUUACCUGGUCUUGACAUCCACGGAAGUUUUCAGAGAUGAGAAUGUGCCUUCGGGAACCGUGAGACAGGUGCUGCAUGGCUGUCGUCAGCUCGUGUUGUGAAAUGUUGGGUUAAGUCCCGCAACGAGCGCAACCCUUAUCCUUUGUUGCCAGCGGUUAGGCCGGGAACUCAAAGGAGACUGCCAGUGAUAAACUGGAGGAAGGUGGGGAUGACGUCAAGUCAUCAUGGCCCUUACGACCAGGGCUACACACGUGCUACAAUGGCGCAUACAAAGAGAAGCGACCUCGCGAGAGCAAGCGGACCUCAUAAAGUGCGUCGUAGUCCGGAUUGGAGUCUGCAACUCGACUCCAUGAAGUCGGAAUCGCUAGUAAUCGUGGAUCAGAAUGCCACGGUGAAUACGUUCCCGGGCCUUGUACACACCGCCCGUCACACCAUGGGAGUGGGUUGCAAAAGAAGUAGGUAGCUUAACCUUCGGGAGGGCGCUUACCACUUUGUGAUUCAUGACUGGGGUGAAGUCGUAACAAGGUAACCGUAGGGGAACCUGCGGUUGGA